Eutrema salsugineum is the source of this 107-nucleotide small nucleolar RNA. It matches the Rfam family "Plant small nucleolar RNA R71". From Rfam's summary of the family: R71 is a member of the C/D box family of snoRNAs containing the C (UGAUGA) and D (CUGA) box motifs. Multiple nearly identical copies of this snoRNA have been identified in Arabidopsis, and it is thought to function as a 2'-O-ribose methylation guide for 18S ribosomal RNA. NCBI's taxonomy places the organism in Eukaryota, Viridiplantae, Streptophyta, Magnoliopsida, Brassicales, Brassicaceae. The record is from Rfam.
AAACCAUGGUGUGGACACUGAUUGGUGUAGCUUCUAAACCUCUCCCAAGUUUCACCAAACCUUUCAUUGUUAUGUUGUUUGAAGCUUGAAAUUUGGUUUCUCAGCUU